AAUUAUGAAUUUUACUAAAGUUUUAGGAAUAUUUUUUCUUAGUGUAAUUUUUAUAACAAAUAAUGUUGAAGGUGUUGAUGAGGUUAUAAAAGUAUCUUGCCAAAAAAAAUGUAGAAUAUGGUGUGUCUUUGAUUUUUGCUAUCAAAGUUGUUUGAAGAAUUAUUGUCAUGAACAUCCUCCAAUUUCUUCUAAAACAUUAAAUUGUCGACUUACUUGUUCAACUCAUCGUUGCUUCGAAUUUAAAAAAGAUGGGAAGCUAAGGGAAAAUUGCUUGAAUGAAUGUUCAACAAAAUAUUGCUCUCAAUAUUAAUUCCAUAUAAUGUUAUGUUACUUAAGUUUUUAAUGAAAUUAAUACUUUUUUGAUAA
Solanum pennellii is the source of this 366-nucleotide long non-coding RNA. RefSeq lists it as uncharacterized. Lineage: Eukaryota; Viridiplantae; Streptophyta; Magnoliopsida; Solanales; Solanaceae. The record is from RefSeq and is a predicted model, not a curated record. The transcript is spliced from 2 exons.